AUUUUUAAAGGGCCGCGGUAUACUGACCGUGCGAAGGUAGCAUAAUCAUUAGUCUUUUAAUUGAAGGCUUGUAUGAAUGGUUGGACAAAAAGUAAUCUGUCUCAGUUAUAAUAGUUGAACUUAACUUUUAAGUGAAAAGGCUUAAAUACUUUAAGGGGACGAUAAGACCCUAUAAAACUUAACAAUAAUUUGAUUAAAUUAUAAAUUGUUAGUAUAACUUGAUUUUAAUUAAUGUUUGUUGCGUUGGGGCGACGGGAAUAUAAUUAGUAACUGUUCUUAAAUAUUUUAUUAACAAGUAUAAUUGAAGAAUAAUUGAUCCUUUAUUAAAGAUUAAAAGAUUAAGUUACUUUAGGGAUAACAGCGUAAUCUUCUUUGAGAGUCCUCAUCGACAAGAAGGUUUGCGACCUCGAUGUUGAAUUAAGGUAUCCUUAUAAUGCAGCAGUUAUAAAGGAAGGUCUGUUCGACCUUUAAAUCCUUACUGAUC
Molecule: ribosomal RNA, 484 nt
Filed under: Penaeus monodon (black tiger shrimp)
Lineage: Eukaryota; Metazoa; Arthropoda; Malacostraca; Decapoda; Penaeidae
Description: partial large subunit ribosomal RNA
Rfam family: Bacterial large subunit ribosomal RNA
Source: RNAcentral